AGCAGUCGCCGCGGUAAUACGUAGGGUGCGAGCGUUAAUCGGAAUUACUGGGCGUAAAGCGGGCGCAGACGGUUACUUAAGCAGGAUGUGAAAUCCCCGGGCUCAACCUGGGAAUUGCGUUCUGAACUGGGUGGCUAGAGUGUGUCAGAGGGGGGUAGAAUUCCACGUGUAGCAGUGAAAUGCGUAGAGAUGUGGAGGAAUACCGAUGGCGAAGGCAGCCCCCUGGGAUAGCACUGACGUUCAUGCCCGAAAGUGUGGGUAGCAAACAGGAUUAGAUACCCCCGUAGUCCCUGUCUCUUAUAC
RNAcentral lists this ribosomal RNA (303 nucleotides) under uncultured bacterium. Its description in RNAcentral is "partial 16S ribosomal RNA". It matches the Rfam family "Bacterial small subunit ribosomal RNA", at positions 507 to 807 of the family's 1533-position model. The record is from RNAcentral.